This 268-nucleotide small RNA is filed under the name Vigna angularis var. angularis. Its description in RNAcentral is "Non-protein coding transcript". The record is from RNAcentral. Lineage: Eukaryota; Viridiplantae; Streptophyta; Magnoliopsida; Fabales; Fabaceae.
GUCGACUGUUAUAACAGAGAAAAACACUUAUAAUGUGAUAGAUUAUGGUGCUCAUGGUGAUGGCAAGUCAGAUGAUUCCAGGGCUUUUGAGAGUGCAUGGAAAGAUACAUGUGGAACAAAAGGAACACCAACUCUUAUUAUACCACAAAAAGGAGCAUUCUUGCUGAAAGGCAUAGCCCUCAAUGGUCCGUGCAUUGCCACAAAAGUUAAUAUUAAGCUUCAAGGAAAAAUUGUUGCACCUAGCAAAGAUGAAUGGGUAAAAGGUAGA